RNAcentral lists this ribosomal RNA (253 nucleotides) under uncultured bacterium. RNAcentral describes it as "partial 16S ribosomal RNA". It matches the Rfam family "Bacterial small subunit ribosomal RNA", at positions 524 to 776 of the family's 1533-position model. The record is from RNAcentral.
UACGGGGGGGGCAAGCGUUGUUCGGAAUUACUGGGCGUAAAGGGUUUGUAGGUGGCCCGCUAAGUCACACGUGAAAUCCCUCAGCUUAACUGGGGAACUGCGUGUGAGACUGGCAGGCUCGAGGGCAGGAGAGGAACGCGGAAUUCCAGGUGUAGCGGUGAAAUGCGUAGAUAUCUGGAGGAACACCGGUGGCGAAGGCGGCGUUCUGGACAGUUCCUGACACUGAGGCACGAAGGCUAGGGGAGCAAACGGG